Molecule: long non-coding RNA, 442 nt
Organism: Oxyura jamaicensis (ruddy duck)
Lineage: Eukaryota; Metazoa; Chordata; Aves; Anseriformes; Anatidae
Exons: 3
Source: RefSeq, a predicted model, not a curated record
GCUUAGAUAGAUCAGAUGUCUCCUGAUUUUGCAAAAGAACCAAAAAUAACAAUAAUUAGUCAAACUGAAGGUCCAGUGAUGCCAUUGCCUCAUAGCAUUUUUGUAUGUAGUUGGACUCCUUUAUUAAGGAGAUAUUCUCUGGUGGGAGGAGUUGUUCCUGAUCGAGAGCCUGCCCUGUGCUAUCCUCAUUGCCCCACACUAGCUCCUAGGGGAACAACAGCAUUUCCAGAAGCUCAGAUGUAUGAUGAAUCCGGCAGCACUGCUUAACAGCUGUGAAUCAGCUUGAAAACGUCCAGCGCACAAGCAUUUGCUGUGUGGUCUGCAAACCUGCACGACUUCUGCACCUCAACAUCUGCCGUCCGUGGGCUCCCCCAACAGAGCCCUGUCGAUUCCCCUCUGUGGCCCGUGGCACACACCGGGAAAUCUGGAAUCGCAGUUCCCA